AAUGAUGGUGUUUAGCAGCUUAGUGAACUAACUAGAUUUAAAUAUUGCACCCUAGAAAGGGAAAGUUUUAAUUUAUAGUCUCCAUAAAAGCAAUUUAAUAGGUCCUGGAAUAAUUAAUAUAGAAGAGUUUCUACCAAAGAUUAUGUGAUACCCCUAGCACUGUGGUUUUUUUUUUUUUCUUUUACAGUUGAGUUGAAAAGAAUGGACUUCUGAAGCAACUUUUCACAAAAAAAUAUCUGGAAGGACUGAGAUUCGAGAGCCGUGGCGGUGCAGUGGUUAGGAUGCAAUAUUGCAGGCUGACUCUGCCCACUGCCAGCAGUUCGAUCCUGACCGGCUUGAGGUUGACUCCGCCUUCCAUCCUUCCAAGGGUAUGCCUUGUAUGGUAUGGAAUCCCAAGGCACGCUUUCCUGGUGAGCAAACCACUUCAUUUGCUGUCCUCAUGUGCAGGAAGUAGUGGGGAGGGGAAAACAGUGAGUAUUUACAACGAGCCAACUUUACAUUCCUACCCCUUCUCUGAUGCCAAUGCUUGCUUUUCUCCAGUCAACGAAAGUGCUCAGAUCUUCGGCUCAUCACUCACUGUUGCACCGUUGACAGAUCCUUCUCGGUGGCACGUUUCCAGUUCCCUUUCAUCUUUUAUAUUCCAGGCCCUGAAUAUGUCUUUCAUAGUGGACGUCCCCCUUCUAAGAAAGUGCUAUUCAAAUUAGUCAAAGUGAAGGUUUCAUGAAUAACUGGGUUGGUGGGGGGUGUUUUUUUCUAUUUUGGGGAGGGACGACACCGAACUUAAGGACCUCAAAUUACAGUCUAAAGUUAAAUUAAAAUCUCAGUGUGAAUUGGUGAGCCUGUGUCUCUCUGUGGUGGUUUUCAGGGUUACUUGGAUUUCUUUAUCUUGGAAACAGGUUGGCAUACAUAU
Molecule: long non-coding RNA, 910 nt
Organism: Crotalus tigris (Tiger rattlesnake)
Lineage: Eukaryota; Metazoa; Chordata; Lepidosauria; Squamata; Viperidae
Exons: 3
Source: RefSeq, a predicted model, not a curated record